Molecule: long non-coding RNA, 1411 nt
Organism: Rosa rugosa (rugosa rose)
Lineage: Eukaryota; Viridiplantae; Streptophyta; Magnoliopsida; Rosales; Rosaceae
Exons: 3
Source: RefSeq, a predicted model, not a curated record
AACCGAGUUUUGUCUUCUUUAAGCAAAGUGAAAUGGUGGCAAACACCUUUGAUUUAAAGGUAGGGUAUUCCGUGAUUUAAGCAUUAGUGGAUCAAUCAAGACCGGUGCUUUAUUUGCUUACGUGUUUAUGCAUAAUUGAAAAUCAUUCAACAAAGAAAGCAGAAGAAAUCUCACUCUCUCUCUCUCACGGCCGAACCCAGCAAAAACAGAGCACGGAUUCUUCGAUCUCUCUCUCCCUCCUCAGGCCACCUCAAGACGUCGAACCACCUCCAUUAGCCUCGCCUAGACCUUGCACUGCUGCAGUGGCAUCCUUGCACCGCGGCACAACCGGAAAACGGCGGCGGAAACACGGUUUCGUUUUAAAACCCGAUUGGGUCCAAUUGUGAUAACUCGAGCUACAGGCCAUCAAUCCUCACCAAACUUCAUCCUCGAGCUCGCCUCAACUUCCUGAAGCUCCCAGAAGCAGCCUCACACGGCGGCGUGGCCCGUAGCAGUGGCUACAAGUCAAACCCAACCAAGAACGAAACCGGAGCUAUCGAUCCAAAUAUCUUGAGCUACAGGAUGUCGUUUUGAGUGAUUCUUGAACCAGUGAGCUCGCCUUGAAGUUCUGAACAACUCUCCAGAAGGAAUCGAAGCGUUUCGUUGAAGUUUUUACGUCGGAAUUCAAGCUCGCCGGAUUCUGGAAAUUUUCCGGCCACCGACGCUUUCGAUCAAGAUAUCUUGAGCUGUAGAGCUUCGUUUUGAGUGAUUCUUGAACCAGUGAGUUCGUCUUUAAGUUCUGAACAAGUCUACUGAAGGAAUCGAAGCGAAAGGAGGACAUUUUUACGUUGAUCGGAGCUUCGCCGGCUUCUGCAAAUUCUCGCCGGUUUUUGGAAAAAUUCCGGCCACCUCGACUGUUUUAGGUGAUUGACGGUCUUCCUUGGGUGAGCGAUUUCGGUGUGUAUUGUGUUGAAUUGAAGACGCAGCGGGAAUAUCGAGCGGGUAAUCCUACAGGUCAGGCGAAUCGGGAAGGUGAUCGAGCUGCUUAGAGAAAUUGCAUUGGGUAAAUCUGGAUUUAUAUUGUGAGGUUUAUUAUGCUCUUUUGAGUAUUGUAAAUUAAGUUGUGAGAGUGUGAUGUAAUAAGUAAAUUGAAGAUUGGUUUUUGUAAUAUUGAGAGGUGUGAAGUGUGGUUGUUUGUGAGAAAAAAAUUCAGGACGUUAUUUGUAUUGAUGUUAAUCAUGUUUCGGAUUUGAAUUGAUUAUUCAAAAUUCGGGGCGUGAUAGACGGCCAAAGAACCCAGAUGGGAAUUCCUGCAUAUAAAGCUUUUCUUGUGUAGUUCUGCAUCUACAAUAUGUACAUAUUAUAUAUAAAACUAUAUGAGUGAGUGUGUGUGUCUAAAUUAACAAAGUCCAAGUUCACAGGAAAAAGAAAU